Molecule: long non-coding RNA, 2038 nt
Filed under: Penaeus monodon (black tiger shrimp)
Lineage: Eukaryota; Metazoa; Arthropoda; Malacostraca; Decapoda; Penaeidae
Description: uncharacterized LOC119575347
Source: RNAcentral
ACACACACACACACAGGACGUCUGACCCCGCACACGAUCCGCUCGUUCGAUGUCAGUACCGAAUUUCUUUAGGCUACAGCAGCAUGCCGUCACGCGAUUGCUUCGAGCUCUGCUGAAAUCGUCCAGUGGAUAAGUGUUUGUUCUUUAACUUCUUUCUUACCUAAUUUCAUUCAAGGAGCGGCCGCUGAGAUGACUUGAGAGGCUAGUUGGUGUGUUUUUUCAGUGUGAGUGGAGUUUUAUUCUAUUUCGUAUAUUUUUUUUUUUGUGGUCUAUUAUGUACACUUUCGAGAGACGGAGCGAGGAAAUAAGAGGUUAACAAGCAUGCCUUUUUCUAGUUUAUGUUUUAUGAAAAAAUGCCGCCUUUAAAAUGGCUCUUCCUUGGUACUAUUCAAAUAUCCUAUAAUCAUGAUUUUAUAGGUGCAUAAUAAAUCAAAUUUCCAAAUUGAUAAAGAGAUCAAUAGUACUAAUGAUUUGUUUUAGAUCCUUGUCUUGUUCAUUGUGUUUACUGUAAUAUCAGGGAAUUUAAGAGUGCGAAUGCAACCCUACGCCUGGCAGCGGUGUUUUGCACAAACUUGCUAUAUUCAUAUAAAGAUCCUAUGGGAUAUUUUUGCUUGUUUGUACUUUUAUUUCUGGACGAAUAAUAUUAAUGUUUAUUCACCAUUGUUGUUAAGUUCGUGUUUAUAUGUUUAUUUUUCAAAUUCCCGCGCAGAUAAUAGUGGCAUGCAGUAGAGCACGGUCUUUUCAUCUCCCAAAUGCUGGCUAUGACAUUCAGCAAGAUAAAGCCUUACUAACAAGCAAACCGGCAGCGCGACAUGGCCCGCGAGUGGCUGCCGGGAGGCGGCGGCGAGGGUCCGCUUUCACCGUAGGCCUUUUGUUGUUGGCCUAGUUUUACGCUUCUCUUAACCUUUGUUAUUGGCCUGAGGAAGGUGGCCGGGGACACUGGGUCAUAUCAGGUCGAAAUAUGAAACCUGUUGGGCGGAAAGUAGGAUACUGAUAGGCCUAUAUGACGGAUCUUAUUGUUUAUUAACGGCGGAGUAACUGCGGGCCCCGGACAGUGCAAGGUUCGCUCAAGUGGCAGGCGAUCAGUCGUGCCUGGACUGUCAGGUGCCGCUGGCCGUCAGCUCGGGGCUCGAGCGCGAGGCUCUGUUGGACUUGUGUUAGUUCAGCGACAAUCUUCAGAGAUUUAAGAGCUUGAUUUACGUUCCUUUUUGGCUGCGAACGCGAUCGCCUCUCGGCACCUGGCUGCGGCUCCCUUUCCCCUCGCCGCAACCGCCUUCGGGCCGAGGGGGAACGCCCGUUGUCCGCCGCUGGAGCGCGUUGUGUUGCCUCCACGCGUCGGGGCAGAGGCAGGCAGCGGCGGGCAGGACAGCCUGUACCCUGCGCAGGUCAAGAUCGAUGUCGGGGCGGGGCUUGCGUAGUCCCCCCCGCGCGGCACCGCCUCCGCCGCCACACCACCGCUACCUCCUCGGCCGCUCGCACUACGCCUCCCGGACCCGGACUUGUUGAACGUGACGCCGCCGCCGCCGCCGCCUACGAACGCACGCUGCUGCCGCUGCUGCCCCGCCUUCGCCGCACCUGCUCGCCCCCUGCCACGUGCCUUCGCAGGUGCCCCACGUUCUCUCGUGCCCAAAGCCCGUCACGCCUCAACGCCAUUCCGUUGCAUUGUUCAAGGUUCGCGGUUGAAAAGGUUCAGUGUUGAAGCGCGAGUCAGGCGCUCGGGUGCCCAGGAUAGCUCGUCGGCGUCGCCAAAGUGGAUUCCCCAGCGGCGCCCAGGACCUCCCCCCCCGCCUCGCCCUCCAAGAGUGAGGCGACGGCAGGAGGAGGCAUGGCGACCUCCGAGGCCCCCCCGCAGCCUCCGCAGGGAGAGCUCCAGCCGCAGGAGGAGGAGGCCGCGACGCCCCACGACCGUCUCAUGUAAGCACAUCCUUGUGGAGCGCAUUCGCGCUGGGCGUCCCCGGCGCUAAUGUGCUGUCUCGUGUUUCGAGUCCAAUUCUGUGUGGGGAUACAGGAUGCAGGUUAGUGUGUCUGUGUGUGAGAA